AUGGCUUCACGAAACACGGCUUUAUUCCUCGUCGGGUUGCUCCUCUCCUGCGUCGCCAUGAGCAACGAAGCAAGAAUCCUCGAGGAGGACACAACUCCUUCCAAAAGCGAGGAGCACCUGCCGGAGCUGCCAGAUUUCCAACAGCCAGCUCUGCCCAAGGUCGAGCUGCCGCCGUUCCCGGAGGUGCAUCUGCCACAUAAGCCUGAGCUACCCAAGGUAGAGCUGCCGCCAUUCCCUGAGGUGCACCUGCCACCCAAGCCCGAACUGCCACCAAAGCCAGAUAUGCCCACCAUCCUGGAGUUCCACUUCCCGGAGCCAGAGGCUAGAGAUAUUUUACGAUGCAUCAUACUACCCAAUAUAACUGGUAGUAUUAAACUGAUCCAACGGUUUGAUAAUGGACGCCGAUAA
RNAcentral lists this ribosomal RNA (408 nucleotides) under Triticum aestivum (bread wheat). Its description in RNAcentral is "partial small subunit ribosomal RNA". The record is from RNAcentral. Lineage: Eukaryota; Viridiplantae; Streptophyta; Magnoliopsida; Poales; Poaceae.